Molecule: ribosomal RNA, 253 nt
Filed under: uncultured bacterium
Lineage: Bacteria
Description: partial 16S ribosomal RNA
Rfam family: Bacterial small subunit ribosomal RNA
Source: RNAcentral
UACGUAGGGUGCAAGCGUUAAUCGGAAUUACUGGGCGUAAAGCGUGCGCAGGCGGUUUUGUAAGUCUGAUGUGAAAUCCCCGGGCUCAACCGUGGAAUUGCAUUGGAGACUGCAAGGCUGGAAUCUGGCAGAGGGGGGUAGAAUUCCACGUGUAGCAGUGAAAUGCGUAGAGAUGUGGAGGAACACCGAUGGCGAAGGCAGCCCCCUGGGUCAAGAUUGACGCUCAUGCACGAAAGCGUGGGGAGCAAACAGG